RNAcentral lists this ribosomal RNA (1431 nucleotides) under uncultured organism. RNAcentral describes it as "16S ribosomal RNA". It matches the Rfam family "Bacterial small subunit ribosomal RNA". The record is from RNAcentral.
CAGGCUUAACACAUGCAAGUCGAGGGGCAUCAGGAAGAAAGCUUGCUUUCUUUGCUGGCGACCGGCGCACGGGUGAGUAACACGUAUCCAACCUGCCCUUUACUCGGGGAUAGCCUUUCGAAAGAAAGAUUAAUACCCGAUAGCAUAAUGAUUCCGCAUGGUUUCAUUAUUAAAGGAUUCCGGUAAAGGAUGGGGAUGCGUUCCAUUAGGUUGUUGGUGAGGUAACGGCCCACCAAGCCUUCGAUGGAUAGGGGUUCUGAGAGGAAGGUCCCCCACAUUGGAACUGAGACACGGUCCAAACUCCUACGGGAGGCAGCAGUGAGGAAUAUUGGUCAAUGGGCGCUAGCCUGAACCAGCCAAGUAGCGUGAAGGAUGAAGGCUCUAUGGGUCGUAAACUUCUUUUAUAUAAGAAUAAAGUGCAGUAUGUAUACUGUUUUGUAUGUAUUAUAUGAAUAAGGAUCGGCUAACUCCGUGCCAGCAGCCGCGGUAAUACGGAGGAUCCGAGCGUUAUCCGGAUUUAUUGGGUUUAAAGGGAGCGUAGGUGGACUGGUAAGUCAGUUGUGAAAGUUUGCGGCUCAACCGUAAAAUUGCAGUUGAUACUGUCAGUCUUGAGUACAGUAGAGGUGGGCGGAAUUCGUGGUGUAGCGGUGAAAUGCUUAGAUAUCACGAAGAACCCCGAUUGCGAAGGCAGCUCACUGGACUGCAACUGACACUGAUGCUCGAAAGUGUGGGUAUCAAACAGGAUUAGAUACCCUGGUAGUCCACACAGUAAACGAUGAAUACUCGCUGUUUGCGAUAUACAGUAAGCGGCCAAGCGAAAGCAUUAAGUAUUCCACCUGGGGAGUACGCCGGCAACAGUGAAACUCAAAGGAAUUGACGGGGGCCCGCACAAGCGGAGGAACAUGUGGUUUAAUUCGAUGAUACGCGAGGAACCUUACCCGGGCUUAAAUUGCAGUGGAAUGAUGUGGAAACAUGUCAGUGAGCAAUCACCGCUGUGAAGGUGCUGCAUGGUUGUCGUCAGCUCGUGCCGUGAGGUGUCGGCUUAAGUGCCAUAACGAGCGCAACCCUUAUCUUUAGUUACUAACAGGUUAUGCUGAGGACUCUAGAGAGACUGCCGUCGUAAGAUGUGAGGAAGGUGGGGAUGACGUCAAAUCAGCACGGCCCUUACGUCCGGGGCUACACACGUGUUACAAUGGGGGGUACAGAAGGCAGCUAGCGGGUGACCGUAUGCUAAUCCCAAAAUCCUCUCUCAGUUCGGAUCGAAGUCUGCAACCCGACUUCGUGAAGCUGGAUUCGCUAGUAAUCGCGCAUCAGCCACGGCGCGGUGAAUACGUUCCCGGGCCUUGUACACACCGCCCGUCAAGCCAUGGGAGCCGGGGGUACCUGAAGUACGUAACCGCAAGGAUCGUCCUAGGGUAAAACUGGUGACUG